RNAcentral lists this ribosomal RNA (253 nucleotides) under uncultured bacterium. Its description in RNAcentral is "partial 16S ribosomal RNA". It matches the Rfam family "Bacterial small subunit ribosomal RNA", at positions 524 to 776 of the family's 1533-position model. The record is from RNAcentral.
GACGUAGGGCGCGAGCGUUGUCCGGAUUUAUUGGGCGUAAAGAGCUCGUAGUCGGCUUGUCCCGUCGGCUGUGAAAUCCCGUGGCUCAACUGCGGGUCUGCAGCCGAUACGGGCAGGCUAGAGUUCGGUAGGGGAGACUGGAAUUCCUGGUGUAGCGGUGAAAUGCGCAGAUAUCAGGAGGAACACCGGUGGCGAAGGCGGGUCUCUGGGCCGAUACUGACGCUGAGGAGCGAAAGCGUGGGGAGCGAACAGG